UCCACGCCGUAAACGAUGUCAACUAGACGUUGGGGGGUUUAACCCUUUAGUGUCGCAGCUAACGCAUUAAGUUGACCGCCUGGGGAGUACGGCCGCAAGGUUAAAACUCAAAGGAAUUGACGGGGGCCCGCACAAGCGGUGGAGCAUGUGGUUUAAUUCGAUGCAACGCGAAGAACCUUACCUGCCCUUGACAUUGACAGAACCCUGGAGAGAUCCGGGGGUCCUUCGGGCCU
Molecule: ribosomal RNA, 233 nt
Filed under: uncultured bacterium
Lineage: Bacteria
Description: partial 16S ribosomal RNA
Rfam family: Bacterial small subunit ribosomal RNA
Source: RNAcentral